GGGUAGAUAGGUAAGUGGUUAAAACGGGCAGACUGUAAAUCUGUUGGCAUCAGCCUUCGGUGGUUCGAAUCCAUCUCUACCCACCA
Molecule: transfer RNA, 86 nt
Filed under: Candidatus Sodaliphilus limicaballi
Lineage: Bacteria; Pseudomonadati; Bacteroidota; Bacteroidia; Bacteroidales; Muribaculaceae
Description: tRNA-Tyr
Rfam family: tRNA
About the family: Transfer RNA (tRNA) molecules are approximately 80 nucleotides in length. Their secondary structure includes four short double-helical elements and three loops (D, anti-codon, and T loops).
Source: RNAcentral